Molecule: long non-coding RNA, 1873 nt
Organism: Lates calcarifer (barramundi perch)
Lineage: Eukaryota; Metazoa; Chordata; Actinopteri; Centropomidae
Exons: 3
Source: RefSeq, a predicted model, not a curated record
CUUCCUCUUUUCAGUUUGGCGCAUGGGCAACAGCAAACAGCUGUUUUCUCUUUUCUCUGAUUUCUGUUACAACACUCUGUGGACACAGACGACAGGACGCCUUUUAAAAUGUGGGACAGAGGAAAACUGCUUCUUGCUGCAGUCGUGUUCACAGCUCUCUGCUACAGAGUGGCUGCAAAAAACCUGGACAUGGCACCACAUGCUGUAGAUGUCCUGUAUGAUAAGUGCCGCAAAGAAGCCAUCAAGGAGUUUAUCCAUUCAGGCGUCUUAAAGGCAGAGCUAAAGGGCAGUGAGGGAUUCCAGAAAGCAUGGAGUGCGAGUACCCAGUGUUCAGAGAUGAUCCCAGGAGGAAUAAAAGAACAUACAACUGCACUUCUGGCAUAUGCUUAUGGAGAUCCAAGGUUUAAAAAGACCUUCAACGAUAAAGUGGAGACAAUGGGUGCAAAUGUUAGCUCCUAUGUAAAGGACUUCCAUUUCAAGUCUCUUCACUUCCUCCUCAUGGACUACAUGAUGCUGCAGAAGCCAAAAAAUUGCACAACUGUGUAUGUUAUUCCUAGAGCUAGGGGAACAAGUCACAGCAGAAAACGGCUCAAAAGUGAGAUUUGGAAGGUUCACCACAGCUCUUAAAUCAAUAGAGGUUGAGUUGGAUGGGGAUAUCAUUUUAAAUAUCACUUCUUGUCUCUUUGUCAAACUGGGGGAGAACAUUUGCAGGAGAGAAAUGGGAUGAGAUCUUGUUAUCUCCAGUUGAAGAGUUCAUUGUGGAGAGUGUAAACAGAAAAGUUGUGGAUGACACAGAACACACUGAGAUUGUUUUGAAACACUCAGGUCUGAGGAGCUCGGACAGGUGCCACAUCUUUUCACGGUCUCCAGCUGACAUCUCCACCCAGUGGCUUGUGUUGUUGCUUGUGGCUUUUUCUCUUUUUUUCUUUAACCUUUGAGCAAAAACAAUUAGCACCUCAGACUGCUGACAGUCAUCAAAAUGCAAAACUGCUUUGUCAUACAGUCAUGUUUUUUAAUUACUUCUUCCACAUGUUUUGAACUGAACUCAUGUUUUCUUUAUGAAAAUCAGCAAAUAAUAUUUACUUUUACAAUAUUUUUUAUGCUAAGUGAUUCUUUUAUACCUGAUUUAUUUGUUGUUGGUAUUUCAUGAAAUUGGUGGAGAGGGAAGGGGAGGGAUGUGCAACAGAGUUCUGUGUGCAAAUCAGCUAAAAAUAUUUACUCAUAACAAUAUUUUUAGGAUAAGCCAAUUUUAUACUUUAUAUAGAAUACCUUUUAUAUUUCAUGCCUUUAUAUUUAGAGAGUGUACAAAAAGACAGAUGUCAGGAAAUGAGUGGAAAGAGAGGGGUACCAGUGCGCAACAAAAUGAGAACUGAGUAAGUCACAGUUCAUGGUCAGCAGGUUAACUUCUAAGUCAGAAAUACAUAAACAAAUAAACUGGUUGAACUGCCCCUGAUUUGCCUCAUAAUUUUUUACACAGGACUGAUCUUUGAACAUCUCUUCACGUGACAGACUGAGAAAGAUGGCAGUGUAUCCGAAUGAGCUGCUCCUGUCAUGACACAUUUAGGAGGGUCCAGUAAGGCCUCUAAUUUAAAGGAUGAGAUAUUUGUAUACUGUUAAUCUGAAUCUGUAUGCAAUAUACAAUGCCUUGCAUUCUAAGCCACCUUUGAUAAACAAAAAUCCAAAAUCCUUUUUAAAAUAUGCUUCUUAUAGGAUAUUCAGUCUUACAGUAUCUUCAACAACAUUUAUAUGAGCAGAUGUAAACUUUUACAUGAGACAAUAAGUAUAAGUUAUUUUGUGGGCUACAACUUAAGCUUGUAUUUGUUUUUUUAAAUCGAUGGUGAAAUUGUGCUUAAUAAACUUUGUGGUAAUGUCA